Molecule: ribosomal RNA, 161 nt
Filed under: Nenga pumila var. pachystachya
Lineage: Eukaryota; Viridiplantae; Streptophyta; Magnoliopsida; Arecales; Arecaceae
Description: 5.8S rRNA
Rfam family: 5.8S ribosomal RNA
About the family: 5.8S ribosomal RNA (5.8S rRNA) is a component of the large subunit of the eukaryotic ribosome. It is transcribed by RNA polymerase I as part of the 45S precursor that also contains 18S and 28S rRNA.
Source: RNAcentral
AUGACUCUCAGCAAUGGAUAUCUCGGCUCUCGCAUCGAUGAAGAACGUAGCGAAAUGCGAUACCUGGUGUGAAUUGCAGAAUCCCGCGAACCAUCAAGUCUUUGAACGCAAGCUGCGCCCGAGGCCACCCGGUCGAGGGCAUGCCUGCCUGGGCGUCAUGC